UCCGUCAAGUUGUGGUUGAGGAAGUAGUGGAGACGACUAAAGAUGAUGUAAUUAUACCACAUGGAGAUGCAGUGACAGUCCAGACAUUUGUUGCUUGGAGAGAACGUUUCGAAGCAGAACUGGCGCUAGAGCGAGCUAAGCUAAUGCCCGAAUCUGCGCUCACGACAACCAAGGAGAAGAAGCUUACUGGGCGAGAGUGGUUUGAAAGAGGA
Long non-coding RNA from Papaver somniferum (opium poppy), 212 nucleotides. RefSeq lists it as uncharacterized. The transcript is spliced from 3 exons. NCBI's taxonomy places the organism in Eukaryota, Viridiplantae, Streptophyta, Magnoliopsida, Ranunculales, Papaveraceae. The record is from RefSeq and is a predicted model, not a curated record.